Long non-coding RNA from Mastomys coucha (southern multimammate mouse), 629 nucleotides. RefSeq lists it as uncharacterized. The transcript has 5 exons. Lineage: Eukaryota; Metazoa; Chordata; Mammalia; Rodentia; Muridae. The record is from RefSeq and is a predicted model, not a curated record.
GAGGGAACGAGCGCUCUGGCGGGAGUGCGGAGGGGGGGAUCUUGCCUGAAGCAGGUUGUAGAACAGAAAGGAAGAAUCCAGAUGGAAGUGGCAGGCUCUGAGAAGACUGAGCUGGGAGUUCAGUUCAGCAAAGGUCUUUGGAGAAGUGGAAGCUGCUGUGGAGCAAGUUUACUGUGAGGAUGGCUGUUUUCCACUGAGUCAGCAGAGGUCCCAACUUGCUUAAGCCGUUGAUGCAGAGACAUUACAGCCAUCUUGACCUGGUAAAGCUCCCAUGGGCAAGGGACACCAAGGCUCACAUGAAAGGAAAGAAAGAGCUAGAACAAGUAGAGAAAGGAAGGAGGAAGAAAGAGAAGAAGAGGAAGAGCAGGAAGAGGAGAAGAAGAGGAAGGAGAAAAAAGAAGAUCCCCCCUGCCACCACACCCCCAGCGCCAGGCAAGUCUCACCCUGCUGCCUGUGGUGUCUCUGGUGUUUACUUAUUCCCUUCCUCUUGGCCUCCCUGCCCUAUUCCAAGCUAGCAGAACACAAUGACCUGACUACUUUCUUCCCAUUUCCUCUCUCAGGCUUUUUACUUUGAAAACAGACUUGAGUGUAUACACAGAGAACAAGGCUCUUUAUAGUAAAUGCAAAAA